This is a long non-coding RNA of Carlito syrichta (Philippine tarsier), 310 nucleotides long. RefSeq lists it as uncharacterized. The transcript is spliced from 2 exons. The record is from RefSeq and is a predicted model, not a curated record. Lineage: Eukaryota; Metazoa; Chordata; Mammalia; Primates; Tarsiidae.
CCUGGCCGCCAUGGGCCUGGAGGAGGGAGUGAGGCUGCUGAGGGCGCCCGAGCCCCGAGAGAAGCUGCCCAGCACAGAGGCGAAAGAAGACAGCGCCUAUGGGAGCCAGUCCGUGGAACAGGAGGCAGAGAAGCUGGGCCCGUCCCCCGAGCCUCCGGGAGGGCUGUGUCAUGGCCACCCCCAGCCGCAGGUGCACUGAGUAGCCACCCAGCCCCUUCAGACCCUGUACAGCAGUCCCUCCUCGUCAAGUCUUAUUUAAUAAAGAUUGUCACGGGAAGGGGAGGGCCCCUCCUGCUUCCAGCUGCCCCAC